This 254-nucleotide ribosomal RNA is filed under the name uncultured prokaryote. RNAcentral describes it as "partial 16S ribosomal RNA". It matches the Rfam family "Bacterial small subunit ribosomal RNA", at positions 525 to 777 of the family's 1533-position model. The record is from RNAcentral.
ACGGAGGGGGCUAGCGUUGCUCGGAAUCACUGGGCGUAAAGCGCACGUAGGUGGAUUCUUAAGUCAGGGGUGAAAUCCUGGAGCUCAACUCCAGAACUGCCUUUGAUACUGGGAAUCUUCGAGUCCGGGAGAGGUGGGUGGAACUGCGAGUGUAGAGGUGAAAUUCGUAGAUAUUCGCAAGAACACCAGUGGCGAAGGCGGCUCACUGGCCCGGUACUGACACUGAGGUGCGAAAGCGUGGGGAGCAAACAGGA